This 628-nucleotide long non-coding RNA is filed under the name Gallus gallus (chicken). The record is from RNAcentral. Lineage: Eukaryota; Metazoa; Chordata; Aves; Galliformes; Phasianidae.
UAUGAAUCCAGAGGGGCACUCUGCCAUGCACUCAUCGUUGUGAAUCACAAACCUCUCGUAGUCACUUGUUUCAGUGGCAGGGACUUUGGAGCAGAACUCCUUGGUCACACAGCGCCAGCCCUCAAACUUGUACGUGUUGGGAGGGCAGGUGGGCAUGCAGACGCCUUCGUAGUAGUAAUUCCGGCAGGCCACGCAAGCAGUGUUGUUGUCGGGUGCUGUGCAGCUCCCCAGGCACUCAGGAUGGCAACACUCAUUCUGGUCUGUGCAGGCUCUCUUGCCACAUGAGCUGGGGCACAUUUUCUGGCAGUGGUUGGUGGUCCAGCAGCGGUAGUUGUACUCGUUGUUAAUGGAGGUCUUCUCGCACAACGGCUUCUCCUCCAUCGUUCCUGGACACAAGUCCCCGCACUCCUUCGGAGGCUUAUUUCCAACAAUGUAGUUAUUAGAGACCGCAUCUAGGAUGAGAGACCAGUCCACUGUGGAGAGGUAACACAGGUCAGAGUUCUUCUCAAUCCGUAUGGCCCCGCGGGUUAUGUUCCUCAAGUUGUGAAGCCCGAUCUCCUUCAGAUUUGUCAUUUCGAAGAUCACCAAGGCAUAGUUGUAGAAGAGGUUCCUCCCGCGAAUGACCGUG